This 441-nucleotide ribosomal RNA is filed under the name uncultured bacterium. Its description in RNAcentral is "partial 16S ribosomal RNA". It matches the Rfam family "Bacterial small subunit ribosomal RNA", at positions 338 to 795 of the family's 1533-position model. The record is from RNAcentral.
CCUACGGGUGGCAGCAGUGGGGAAUAUUGGGCAAUGGGCGCAAGCCUGACCCAGCAACGCCGCGUGAAGGAUGAAGGUUUUCGGAUUGUAAACUUCUGUCGCGAGGGACGAAGAAUGACGGUACCUCGUAAGAAAGCCCCGGCUAACUACGUGCCAGCAGCCGCGGUAAUACGUAGGGGGCAAGCGUUGUCCGGAAUGACUGGGCGUAAAGGGAGUGUAGGCGGCCUUGUAAGUUAGAUGUGAAAUCCUACGGCUUAACCGUAGAACUGCAUCUAAAACUGUGAGGCUGGAGUGCAGGAGAGGUGAGUGGAAUUCUUGGUGUAGGGGUAAAAUCCGUAGAGAUCAAGAGGAAUACUCAUUGCGAAGGCGACCUGCUAGAACAUAACUGACGCUGAUGCGCGAAAGCGUGGGGAGCAAACAGGAUUAGAUACCCUGGUAGUC